CUACGGGGUGCUGCAGUGGGGAAUUUUGUGCAAUGGGCGAAAGCCUGACACAGCGACGCCGCGUGGAGGAUGAAGGUUUUCGGAUCGUAAACUCCUGUUAAAUGGGAAGAAAGAUUCACGGUUAAUACCCGUGGAAGAUGACGGUACUAUUAGAGAAAGUUCCGGCUAACUUCGUGCCAGCAGCCGCGGUAAUACGAGGGGAACAAGCGUUAUUCGGAGUUACUGGGCGUAAAGCGCGCGUAGGCGGCUUUUUAAGUCGAUUGUUAAAUACCAUGGCCUAACUGUGGAAAUGCGAUCGAUACUGGAUGGCUAGAGAUUGGAAGAGAGGGAUGGAAUUCUCGGAGUAGCGGUAAAAUGCGUAGAUCUCGAGAGGAACACCGAUGGCGAAAGCAGUCCCUUGGUCCAACACUGACGCUAAAGCGCGAAAGCGUGGGUAGCAAACAGGAUUAGAUACCCCGGUAGUC
RNAcentral lists this ribosomal RNA (464 nucleotides) under uncultured bacterium. RNAcentral describes it as "partial 16S ribosomal RNA". It matches the Rfam family "Bacterial small subunit ribosomal RNA", at positions 339 to 795 of the family's 1533-position model. The record is from RNAcentral.